RNAcentral lists this transfer-messenger RNA (397 nucleotides) under Solitalea koreensis. RNAcentral describes it as "Standard tmRNA". It matches the Rfam family "transfer-messenger RNA". From Rfam's summary of the family: Bacterial tmRNA, also known as 10Sa RNA or SsrA, is named for its dual tRNA and mRNA-like properties. Its role is to liberate the mRNA from a stalled ribosome. To accomplish this part of the tmRNA is used as a reading frame that ends in a translation stop signal. Lineage: Bacteria; Pseudomonadati; Bacteroidota; Sphingobacteriia; Sphingobacteriales; Sphingobacteriaceae. The record is from Rfam by way of RNAcentral.
GGGGUUGACCGGAAUUGACAGGAUGGAAGAUUUGUGUGUAAGCAUGCAGGGCGUUGUGGAGAGUGCCCGUUAAAGAAAAUCCUCAAACAACAAACGGCGAAAAUAACUACGCUCUUGCUGCUUAAUUAUAUCGGAGAUAUAAUGGCCUAGUUCCAGCUAAGAGUUGGAAGCGAGAUGUUUCCCGGAAGCGCAAUCCUGCCGCGUCCGAUCCGGAAGCACAGAAAAGUGGGAUUAAGGUUUGUAAUGCUUUUAAUCAAGCCCGACAAUUAAAAAAGCUAAGCUGUUGUUAGCCUGUUUGUGGGCAGACCUCAGUCGAAAAUUAAACACAAAAUAAGCAUGUAGAAAGCGCAUCAGGUCCCAUGUUUGGACGAGGGUUCGAAUCCCUCCAGCUCCACAG